Molecule: ribosomal RNA, 330 nt
Filed under: uncultured eukaryote
Lineage: Eukaryota
Description: partial 18S ribosomal RNA
Rfam family: Eukaryotic small subunit ribosomal RNA
Source: RNAcentral
CCCUUAGACGUUCUGGGCCGCACGCGCGCUACACUGACCAGUGCAACAAGCAUCCGUCCUUGGCCGACAGGCCCGGGCAAUCUUUGAACGCUGGUCGUGAUGGGGAUAGACUUUUGCAAUUUUUGGUCUUCAACGAGGAAUUCCUAGUAAACGCAAGUCAUCAACUUGCAUUGAUUACGUCCCUGCCCUUUGUACACACCGCCCGUCGCACCUACCGAUUGAAUGGUCCGGUGAAAUGUUCGGAUCGCGGCAAAUCGGACGGGUAACCGUCAGGUUCGCUGCGAGAAGUUCAUUAAACCUUAUCAUUUAGAGGAAGGAGAAGUCGUAACA